GAUGAACGCUGGCGGCGUGCCUAAUACAUGCAAGUCGAGCGAACGGACGAGAAGCUUGCUUCUCUGAUGUUAGCGGCGGACGGGUGAGUAACACGUGGAUAACCUACCUAUAAGACUGGGAUAACUUCGGGAAACCGGAGCUAAUACCGGAUAAUAUUUUGAACCGCAUGGUUCAAAAGUGAAAGACGGUCUUGCUGUCACUUAUAGAUGGAUCCGCGCUGCAUUAGCUAGUUGGUAAGGUAACGGCUUACCAAGGCAACGAUGCAUAGCCGACCUGAGAGGGUGAUCGGCCACACUGGAACUGAGACACGGUCCAGACUCCUACGGGAGGCAGCAGUAGGGAAUCUUCCGCAAUGGGCGAAAGCCUGACGGAGCAACGCCGCGUGAGUGAUGAAGGUCUUCGGAUCGUAAAACUCUGUUAUUAGGGAAGAACAUAUGUGUAAGUAACUGUGCACAUCUUGACGGUACCUAAUCAGAAAGCCACGGCUAACUACGUGCCAGCAGCCGCGGUAAUACGUAGGUGGCAAGCGUUAUCCGGAAUUAUUGGGCGUAAAGCGCGCGUAGGCGGUUUUUUAAGUCUGAUGUGAAAGCCCACGGCUCAACCGUGGAGGGUCAUUGGAAACUGGAAAACUUGAGUGCAGAAGAGGAAAGUGGAAUUCCAUGUGUAGCGGUGAAAUGCGCAGAGAUAUGGAGGAACACCAGUGGCGAAGGCGACUUUCUGGUCUGUAACUGACGCUGAUGUGCGAGAGCGUGGGGAUCAAACAGGAUUAGAUACCCUGGUAGUCCACGCCGUAAACGAUGAGUGCUAAGUGUUAGGGGGUUUCCGCCCCUUAGUGCUGCAGCUAACGCAUUAAGCACUCCGCCUGGGGAGUACGACCGCAAGGUUGAAACUCAAAGGAAUUGACGGGGACCCGCACAAGCGGUGGAGCAUGUGGUUUAAUUCGAAGCAACGCGAAGAACCUUACCAAAUCUUGACAUCCUUUGACAACUCUAGAGAUAGAGCUUUCCCCUUCGGGGGACAAAGUGACAGGUGGUGCAUGGUUGUCGUCAGCUCGUGUCGUGAGAUGUUGGGUUAAGUCCCGCAACGAGCGCAACCCUUAAGCUUAGUUGCCAUCAUUAAGUUGGGCACUCUAAGUUGACUGCCGGUGACAAACCGGAGGAAGGUGGGGAUGACGUCAAAUCAUCAUGCCCCUUAUGAUUUGGGCUACACACGUGCUACAAUGGACAAUACAAAGGGCAGCGAAACCGCGAGGUCAAGCAAAUCCCAUAAAGUUGUUCUCAGUUCGGAUUGUAGUCUGCAACUCGACUACAUGAAGCUGGAAUCGCUAGUAAUCGUAGAUCAGCAUGCUACGGUGAAUACGUUCCCGGGUCU
This 1372-nucleotide ribosomal RNA is filed under the name uncultured bacterium. Its description in RNAcentral is "bacterial SSU rRNA". It matches the Rfam family "Bacterial small subunit ribosomal RNA", at positions 28 to 1381 of the family's 1533-position model. The record is from RNAcentral.